UCAGACGAUGCGUCAUGCAUAUCAAUAAGCGGAGGAAAAGAAACUAACAAGGAUUCCCUCAGUAACGGCGAGUGAAGCGGGAAGAGCUCAAAUUUGAAAUCUUGAAAGGUCACCUUUCACGAAUUGUAGUUUAAAGAAGUGUUUUCUGUUACGAUCGUAAUAUAAGUUCUUUGGAAUAGGACAUCACAGAGGGUGAGAAUCCCGUCUAUGAUUGCGAUUUGUAGCUUUGUGAUACACUUUCAAAGAGUCGGGUUGUUUGGGAAUGCAGCCCAAAACGGGAGGUAAAUUUCUUCUAAGGCUAAAUAUUGGCGAGAGACCGAUAGCGAACAAGUACCGUGAGGGAAAGAUGAAAAGGAACUUUGAAAAGAGAGUUAAAUAGUACGUGAAAUUGUCAAAAGGGAAGCGUUUAACACCAGUGUUGCUUUCUGAAAAUCAACCUCUGUUAGCUUUAUGCAUGUUUGUUUAGACCUAAUCAGCUAUCUUGCAUGUUCUAUUGUUUGCAGUGGUGCACUUUUCAGUUUACAGGUCAACAUCAGUUUUUUUUACCGUAAAAAAGUUAAAGAAAGGUAGCUCAUGGCUCCGGUCGUGAGUGUUAUAGUCUUUUUCCUAUGCGGUAGGAGAGACUGAGGUCUGCAGUGUAGGCUAUUUGGCUAGAUACUCAGGUGCUAUGUGAUACCAUUUCAUAAACAACUUGUUGAUUAUGUUUUGUCUAUUGCAUACUCGCUUGUACUAUCAUACCUACGCUUAGGAUGUUGAAGACUCUACAGAGAUA
This 772-nucleotide ribosomal RNA is filed under the name uncultured Neocallimastigales. RNAcentral describes it as "partial large subunit ribosomal RNA". The stretch from base 4 to 662 matches the Rfam family "Eukaryotic large subunit ribosomal RNA", at positions 24 to 664 of the family's 3401-position model. Lineage: Eukaryota; Fungi; Neocallimastigomycota; Neocallimastigomycetes; Neocallimastigales. The record is from RNAcentral.